UUCAUCAAACCUCUCAUUAACAUCUUCCAAGUCAUCGGAUUCAGACUCACCAUCUUCCGUAAAUAUAGACAGGUCUUCAUCAUCCUGUGUCAUUACCAGGUGGACCCCGAAGCUUUUAAAACGCAGCGAAUCUUCUGCCCAAGUCGGAAAAUUAACUCGACACGCAAAAGGCGACUUCGGCCAGGUAAUCUGAUCAUCCCGGUAAAACAUUUCUCUGAACUGAAUAUAGCACAGCCACACAUGACCUGACCCUAUCUUUUUGAAAUAGUAAUUGCACUGAAUAAAAUAAGGUUCCACUCCUGGUUGAUUGAUGGAAAUUUUUGGUACAAAACCAUGGAAACGUCGUCUUUUGUUUUGGGGGUUUUCAACAGCAGCGUAUAGAGCCAAUCCUUGGUUCUGGCAUUUGAAGUUUGGAGGGAUUUGAAUCAAAAAUUUACAUGCGUUAUCACGCUCCUUCACAUCCUUAUGACAGCUGAACAACGUCGAGAAAACUUCAAAACUUGCUGGAAAUACAACCUGAAAUCCAUGUUUCUGUGAAGACAGAAGGUGAUCAAAGAAGAGAGUGAUCUGCUCCUUUGCUAAAAUGUUAUGCUUCUUUGUGAGGUCACGAGCCAGAUUGCCGCACAGUCUCUGGCAAUUACCCAAGUCCACCAACUCAAUCAUUUGUAAGUCUUUUUUACCUUUCAGAAUGUUGGACAACGAUGAAAACCUUUCCAAUGAUACGCAAUCACUCGCCCCUAACUUUACUAUUUUUGGUGGAAGUUCCGGAAUAUCUCGAAGCCUCUUGCAGCCAUGCAAGUAAAGAUCCCGCAAAUUGACAAAUUUCGUAAUGCAUUUGGGAAUACUUACAAGGAAAUCACUUCGUCUUAGAUCAAGUACGUUCAAUGUAGACACACAAUCAAGAGUCCUCAGGAAAUUAAAUUCUGAUAAAUUGUUUCCUUCCAACUUGAAUUCCGCAAGACUGGGAAGCGCUAAAGUAUGUGAUACUGGACUCCCCAAAACUUCAGACUUCACUUUAUUUGGAAAUCUAACAAGCUUUCGACUUCCUUGGAGACAAAUUUCAUUUAGAUGUUCCAACUCAUAAAUGCUGGAUGGCAGAUUCGUCAGAUUUUCACAAAUGCUUAUGUCUAAAAAUUCAAGACUGACGAGAUAUGCAAUUGACGCAGGCAAUUCUUUGAUGCCACUACCACAUAGAAACAAGUGACGUAAGGAAUCCAUCUUCCCCCCAAUUUCAGGGAAAGUCUCCAGUCUUCUGCAAUAUACAAGAUAGAGAACUUCUAGAGAUUUUGACUUGAUUAUUGGAAAUAGUGUGAGGUUAUGGCAACUCUGAAGACUCAAUUUCACAAGCUUAUCAUGAAAUCCAACAGAAGGAUGAACCUCAACUAAACUUGUGCAGUCGUCUAGAUUCAAGGACUGUAAGUUUGGAAUUCCAGAGAUAUUUGGGCUUUUUGUUAGGAAUUCACAGCUCUUAAAAUUCAUGGACGUCAAAUUUUGCAAACGCUAUAUAAGACAAAAAUAGAAAAUAAAAAGAAGGAUCAAACGGUAAGGCAUAAACAAGUUCAAGCCAUAACUCCAAAAACAUAAUAAACUUUUGAAAAUACGAAGGGAUGAAAAUAAUUUAAAUUACCUUGAAUCCCUCCCCAAGUUGUGACAAGCGGCUAUAAGGCAUAUAAAGUUCAACAAGUUUCCUUGGAUUGAAAGUAGAUGGUAAAGUUUGUAGAGGACAAUUAGGCCAAUGAAGAAACCUCAACUCAUUAGAUAGAUAAUCCACGUGAUCGCCACUAAAUCGUGCAUUCACAUUGAUGAAAAGUCGAAGGUUUUUCAUCUUUGAGAAGCUGUCACCACUCAAGCAUAUGUCAUCUGGUGUCGGAAACUUUGCUAUGAUGCCUUUAAUAUUAUUUGUUCCCUAUUAUCAAAAAGCAGUAGUGUAAACAUACAAAGCUCUUUAGCAAAUAAAAAUGCAAGUGUACACAUCACACAACAGACUUACUGUUCCUUCUGUUAGAACACGAUAAACAUCCUCGUGAAACCACAAUCUGCUACGUUCACCAGGCUCAUUUGGCGACUGUAGAUAAACUAUUCCUCUACCCAAUUCUUCAAGCAAGUCAUGCAUCCCAAUUAUGCCUCGUUCAAUAUUUAUGAGGGCCUUGUCUACGAGUACUUUAAUAGCAUACUUAGGCUUGAGGUCACAACCUUCCAGGAUCGGUAUCACAUGGUUCACCUUUCUACCGUUAAAGAAACAUGCUAUGUCAAGGAAAACUUCUUGCACUGAAUAUUCCAAUGCAUCAUAGCUUAUUUUGAGAGUUUUUUUAAUGUCCGGGUGCAGAUUCCCAUCCAAUGCAUCAUGCCACUCAUCUAUACUUCUACCACAUAGAUGAGAACCUAAAACCUUGAGAGCUAAAGGAAGACCUUGAGCAUGCUUCAGCACAGUUUCUGCAGCUUUCACAUAAUCAUCAUCCAAAUUUUUAUUUCUCCCACCAUUCCAACUAAUGAAGAGAUCAAGAGAUUCACCAAAGUUUAAUUUCUUGGCCUUAUAUAUAAUACUAACUUGAUGAGAAGUUAGCAAAUGCUUAUCUCUUGUCGUUAUGAUGAUUCUACUGCCCAAACCAAACCAAUCACAACCUCCAACUAAGUUGUUUAAUUGGUCCAAAUGAUCCACAUCAUCUACAAUUACAAGGACCUUUUUACCACUCAACCUUUCCUUUAUCACACUGAUUCCUUUAUCGGCACUGGUAACCUUUAUUUCCUUUCCCCUUAGAAUCUCAUCAAGAAGAAGAUUUUGUAGGUCGACUAGGCCUCCAUAUGGUAUUGAUCUUUCUCUUACUUUUUCCAGAAAACAACUCCCUUCAAACACAUGGGCCAGUGAGUUAUAAACAGCUUUAGCAACAGUUGUCUUUCCUAUUCCAGCAGUCCCCCAUAUUCCUACCAUGCGAACAUCAUUUCCGUCAACAUCUAAAACUUUAUGAAGAUCUCGUACACGAGCCUGUAUUCCGACUUGGUAUUUUGCCACAUUGAUAUGGGUAUCAUUUAAUACUUGUAAGGAAAUCUCGUUGACAAUGUUCUGAAUAAAUUCAGUUUCACGGCUGCCAAUUUCAAGCACAAACAACAAUUAAAUCAAAUGGGAUUUUUCUAUAUAUGUUAUAAAGAAGUGCUCGAUACUAAUGUCAAUUAUGUCAUGAAUCUAUAUAUAUAAAGCAAAAAAUAGAGAAUAAUGAAACAUUCAAAAUACCAUAAAAUGUCAUUGGUUAAUGUAAACAUUUUAACAGAAAUAUAUUGAAAAUGUCUAUUACUCUAGAGAUUUCUACCAAAUGUCCAUCACAUUUUAACAGUUAAAAUAACAGAUUCUGCAACCCUGGGAGAAAUAAAUUGAAAUUAAAGCAGAGCCUCAGAAAAGAAAAAAAUAAUAACGGAUCCUAAAUGUAUAUUAAAGACAGAAAUAUACCGCAUCAGAAAAGGAAAAAAAUAUAAAUAAUAAUAAAUAAAUAAAUAAAACAUACCCCUCCAAGUAAUGCGACCCAGACAAAUUUGCAGCUUCUGUAAGGGUUUCCUUCCAUCUCAGAACCUUCUUCAUAUUGUCCUCGAAUUUACUUUCAUCAUGGUUAGUAAGUUUCUGUUCUUUGAAUUUGCGUUCAUGGUUAUUCAGUGCCUCGCCAUAACUACCUCUUUGGUUCCUUACAUCUGAGGGAUCCACUUUGUAGAAAACUGGCCAAACCAUCUGUUGCUUUGAUUUUCUACACUGAAUGAUAUGAACAAGUUCAUCCAAGCACCACUUCGAGGAUGCAUAUUUUUCAGAGAAUACGAUGAUGGAACACCUCGAUCCUUCAAUUGCAUCAAGAAGUGCUUGUGAUAUUUCCUCUCCUCUUGGGAGCUCAUCAUCUAUGAAGGUUCUGAUGCCCCUCUGGACCAAAUUUUUGUGCAGAUGGUCUGUGAAAUUGUAGCGUGUGUCCUCACCUCUAAAGCUGAGAAACACAUCGUGGGUCCAUGAAUUGGUGAAAGAAGAAGAAGAAGAAGAAGGGGAAGGAGCUCCUAAUAAUUGAGUGGUGUCUAGAUCCAUAUUGUUGAAAAUUGAACAGGCUGAAAGGGUUGGAAAUUAUAGUGAUUUAUUGUCCGAGAGUCUCUGGUUGGCAAUGUCAGUGGGGAGACGAAUCAUGUGAGUGAAAAGUCUUCGUCUUUCUCGGCCCCAAGAGCCCCUACCUCUGCUGGGUCUCUCUAGACCCGAGGGACAGUUUUAAAUUUUUUUAAUUUUUAAUUUUAUAUAAUUAUUUAAUCAAUAAAAUAAAACUAGUUUGUUACUCUUUCAAAAGGUUUCCGUGAAUGGCGGGAAGAAGAACCACCUUCAUUAGUGGUUGAAUCCAUUUGAUUGCAGAAAAGGAUGUUGGGAAAGGCUACUUUCCUUUGUUAUAUAUUAGGUGUUUACUCAGUGCUCCGCCAUUUGCUUGUAUUAAAAAUAAAAUUAGGCCAUCCCAUCUGCGAAGUAGUUUCCUCUGUCAUUUUCAGAGUGGAUGAGAAGUCAAAAGGUGAAUAUUAUAAAACAGAAGACUGCAUUUUUGUUGCAACGUACGGUUGUUUCGCAAUUCAGAAGUAACGUAGAAGUUCGGCGUGUAGGAAAAAAAGACAAAAUGCGUAGAUGAUGAAGAUGCAUAAAAUAACCUCCUCUAAAUAUUUUGUUAGAAGACAAAACUUUGUUUCUUUUCCUUUUUUCUUAUUAUAUGACCUAAUAUUUGAAAAAUAAUAUUGAUUCCUUUAUCGACAAAAUGGCCUAAUUAUUUACAGAAUUUAAAUAAAUUUUUAUAAUAAAAAUUGAUUUUAAUCCCCACUUGAUACACGCACAUAGGACACGCUUAGGAUAUUCAUUAGGAAAUAAAAUCAAUAGGAUCCAAAAUUUGGUGUUUAUAGGAUAUAGGAUGAUAAGCUAAAUUCAAUAGUCUCAAUACGAACUCAAUAUCACUCAAACUCACUAUGCAACACAUUUCAUUCAAUUCUUUUGUGCCAAAAUAAUUGACUACUCGAACAUCUUCUAAAAGUUUCAUUACGUCCAUGGAGUAUAACUCAGUUGAUUGAGCUCUUUCACCUCCACUUAUGUGGGCAAAAGUUCGAGACACCUAGGCACCCAAUGAAUAUUUGUGUAAACCACUCUCCCCCAAUCACUUGUGCUAUAAAAAUAUAUAAAAAAAUAAUUACAAAUUCCCAUGUUUUUCUUAUCAUUUCCAUUGUUUUUUUAAUCUAGUUUUUAUCAAUAUCAAUAAUUUUUCACAGAUAUUUCCAAAUUUUUAGACCACUAAUAUUUUUGAAACUCUAAAUGCCUGUUUGGCAUUGUUUAUUUGGAGCAAAAAUCACUUUCUUAAAAAGUUUUCUUCCACCUAGCUGUUUGGUAAAUGAAAAAAUAAUCUGAUUAUAUGAAUAAUUGCUGUCAGCCACAGUGAUUUGAGGAAGCUGGUCAGGGGGUGAUUUUAUUUCCGCUUAUGCGGAAAGAGGGUGGGGAACCGGUGCUCUUUAAUGAAUGUUUUAAAAAUGCCCAGAUUAUUCUCAUUGGCUUUUGAAAAUGACAUCCACUAUCGUCUUCAUUUGAUCAUGUAUUCUUGAAUCGCUGCUUCCUCUCCUCUCACGUUACAUAGUGAGUUCAGUUCUUCUUCUUCUUCUCUUCACACCUUUCUUCUUUAAUUUGUCUCCAAGAUUCCUACAACCCCAGAUCUAAAGUUUGUUUCUUAUCUUUUUUCAUUCUGGAUUUGGGGCAGUUAGUCCUUUCUGAUGGUCCAAUCCUGAUAGUCACGUUUCUAGUUCUCAACAAAGAACAAAUCUUAAUGGUCCUUCAAAUCAACGGAUUGGAUCCAGUAUCAAUUUCAUCAUUUUGGGUUUUCAGUGCAACAGAGUGAUAAAAGGUUUUCAGUGCAACAGAGUGAACAAAUCUUAUUGUUUUCUUGUGUUUGAUGGGCUGCAAUGAAUUUGUAGGUUGUAUCCCCUGUGUUCACUCUCUUUCUGGGUUUCUCUUGUUCUAGUCCUCAUUUGCAACUUUAUCCAAAUUAUUUUUUUAUAAAUUCUCUUGUUCUAGAACACUUUUAUUUUUAAUACUCAUUCUAAACUGGUUUCCUUCAAUCCUUUUUUCCGUUUUCAAAAUCAUUGGGUUUUCAAUAAUGAAAUGCUGUAUUAAUUGACGACAAACAAAACAAAACAAAACAAUGUAGGAUCAGCCCACAUAACGCAUCUGGAAGAAAGAGGCGAAGGGUGGUCAUAAUUUCUAAAUUUACUUCACAAUAAGGAAAGGAAUGCAUAUAUGCAAGUAUGACUGUAUGAGUAGCAACGUAUAUACUCGAUGGGAAUUGGCAUUUGGUUGUUGGCCAUGGAGUUAAAUGGUGUGAACAAAAAUUACUAAUGAAGAGGCAAGAGGGCACUGAAUACUGCAAUCGUGAUAGGAAGAUUUUGGGUUGUUAUUAUAUUCAUUUGUGAAUUACAAUAGUUGAGUUUUCAAUUGAUCAUAAUAUUCAGGUUUUAGGUAUUGAAAUUAAAAAUAAUAACCUCAUGCCCUUUCUAGUCACUAUACACAGUCCAAACACUUUUACACAAAAAUUUACCAAACAUUCGUAAACUUAAUAUUGUUUCAACAUCACUUUUAACAAAAAGUUUACCAAACGCCAAAUUGAUUUAUUUCACAGCUGAUUUCUCAUAUAGCAAAUUUAACCAUGAUUAUUUUCACAGCACAGCAAUGCCAAACUGACUACCUUACUUCUUACCCAAAAAAAUUGUCCUUACUUAUUGUAAAAUUAAUGAGACAAUAACUAUUUAUAACAAAAACCAUGAUUGCACUCAUAAUAUGCAUCAAUGUACAUCACAGAUGCAAAGUAGUUUCAUGUCAUCUUCAUAGUGGAUGUGAAGUCAAAGGGAAUAAGAAAAUGGUCAAAAGGAAACAACAACCAACCACAAAAGAAAAAGAAAAAAGAAGCAUCACUACACUUUCGUUGCAACAUGGUUAUUUAACAAGUAGUUGGGGGUGUGGAAAAAAAGACAAAAGGUCGAUUGAUGAUGAAGAUGACUAAAAUAGAUCAGGAUUGUCAAAAAUAACAUCUAUAAUUGUUAGAACACAAAAUUUUGUUAUUGGCGAGUCAGUUAAUUCAUAAUGUGUCAUGCUAUUAGAUAGAAAGGUAUUCGUAUAAUGUAUGUGAGUUUAGUAAAUUAUCGCCCCUCUCAAUAAGGGCUUGCAAGUAAUGAGACACAUAACCUAAUUAAAAGACAGGAUUGUAAUUAAACCGAUAUUUUGUUGAUUAAGAAUGAAUGCAAUUUUCAAAAAUAAUAUCAUGAACCCAUUCAAAUUGAGUGAGAGGGACUUCGUCGAUCUUUUCUUCUAGCAGAUCAAACUUGUUCAGUAUCAAAAUGAAGUCUUUAUAUGGUCAAUGACUGGAUAGUGAGCGUAUGGUGGAAUGUCUAGUUUUGGGGUGGGUGGUUUCAAUUGGGUUGCCACCAAAUAUAUACUACUAGAUAGUAACUUUUGAAUUAAUGAUGCCAAGGGCUUAAAUAAGAUGGAGUAUUUAAUCAAACUUCUUGUUUCAUGAUGCUAUAGUCAAUUGUUGCAUGACUAAUACCUUUUUUUUUUUUUUUUUUUUUUUAAUUUUAUGUUUUUUCGAAAAGGCAGAUUUCAUUCCAUUAGAAAGGAGGAAUAAUGGGCAUGUAAUACAUAGCCUCGUUAAAACCUUCCCGGAGAAACCACACGUGAAAAAUCCCGGAGUAAGAAAGAGUACCACAAAUGCUGAUGAAGUACACAACAAGAAAAAUUACAUUGCAUCACUAUUCCUCCUUUUUAGUUCAAGAGGUAUCUUUUUUUUUCUUUUUUUUUGGUGGUUUUCUUUGUGCAUGCUCUUGGGAUUUAUAGUACUUUACUCUGUUGUGAUCAAUGUUAUGUCUAGAGUACCCAAUGUUAUAUAACUCCCCCAUUGUAAUUUCUAUAACUCAUAACUCGCAAGAAAGAAUUCAACCUCCCCGUAGUUUAGAAAAUAACUAUUUAAUUAAAGAUUACAAUCUGGUUUGGUUAAGUUAACUGACUAUAUAUAUAUAUAGUAGCAACGGUGCCCACGCGAUGCUACAGGUUUUAAAACCCUGUGAAAUGUAUACAAAGUCGUGAAAAUAUGUAGGAAAUAUGGUACUAUUUAUAUAGACAUGGAGAUCUAAAUAGUGGCAUCUUUGUUUUGCAAGUUUAAUACUCCCAAAGAAAAAAUUAGCCAAACUACAGACGCAAAAAUGAAUCUUAAUCAAUUCCAAAUAAUAGAGGCAGUGUUCAAACUUAGAAAGAUAGAAGAACUAAAAUUCAGAUAAUGGAGGUAAUGUUCAAACUUUGAACAUCUCUAACAUGACAUCACCAAAUCAGUAAAUAUUACACAAAAUCAGUAUAAAAACACAUGAAGACAAAAAAAAAAAUAAAAAAAGCAAAUAUUAACAACAAUAGAUCAUUACACAAUUUAGGGUGACCCUAACAACAAUUGAGGAAUUGAUUGCUUUUGUUAGAGACCAAAGCAAGUGUUUCUAAAACAGGGAAUAAGAGCAUAAAAGUUUUUGAAUGUUGGAUGCCCAUUUUUUACUUUUCCUUCCUCUUCCUCUAUUUCCCGAGAAAGCAAAUAAACAGAAUCAGCCAAAUAUCACCACAAAUCAAAUGUAUGGUAAUUAAUUAAAUGCCAAAGUAAGAAGUGCCAAAGAAUCAUUGAGCAUAAAAUAAAAAAAAACCAAAAAUCUGAGUCACCACUUGUAGAAGAUUAGCCCUUUGCUGGCAGCUCCUUUCACUUACAAACUCCUUGGUGUUCCAGUGCCACAACAACUUCAGUACUUGCUGCACAAUCCAAGCUCCUCAGUACUCGAUGCACAAUCCAAGCCCUGCAAGCUACAUUGGUAUUUGUUAUGGGUUGCCAUAAAAGGGAAUUUUCAUUUUUAAAGGUCCGUAUGUACGAAUCUAUAAAUGAGUUGCAAAACUUCCACAAAUAUCAAAUCAAACCACAGAUUAGUGGCAGCAUGUAUGUACCAAAUUGUGGCACAUCCCAUUUCAGCUCAUAAAUCGUCAAAUAAAAAAUCUAAAAUACGCAUUCAUAUCAUACAAGUUGGAAGGAUGAACCAAUAUUUUGCAAAAGCACAAAACUUUAUUAACAUCCCAACAAACCCAAAGGAUAAAAACAGAUAAUCAAAUCAAUCAUGAAAUACAGAAUUACAGACAGAAUACGCACAUAUAAGGAUGAAAUGCAACAAUUAAGACCACUCGCGCCACCCAUUUCUCUGUAAUUGAUCUUUCGCUUUUUCAUUGUCAAUCCAACAUACUUUUAAAUCUUUACCAAUCAAAUUUUACGUCUCCAAUUCAACCGGGCAUUUCGAGGGGAUGCCUCUGACGCAGCCUCCUUCACAUCUGCCACCAAAGCCAAACAUCAAACCUCAAUUAAUUCACAAACCCAGAAACCAACCCAACCCAAAUUACAUAGGGCAGAUAGAUAAAGAAGCAGGAUGAAGCAAAAUGAUAAUAAUUGGUCAAACAGAACCCAACAUGCACAAAAGCUUCAAAUGUCCAAAGCUCCAAAAACAAAACAUAAUAAUAAUAACCCGAAUUGGGCAAACCAAGUUCUACUCAGUAGUGGGUGGCUCUUGUGGGGAAGAAGAUGAAGCUUCAUCUGCAUAAGAGACCAAUGUACACAGUGGGCUUGCGUUUCACGUCCCAUGGCUGCGUUUUGCGAGGCCGAGUCUUCCUGUGAUGCGCAGUGGCCUUCUUCUGUGGCCUCGACGAACACUCAAUCAUCAACCCAGUACCUCCACCAACUGAGCCGCGCAAUGGGGAUGUCUUUGGGACCCCAAACGACUCGAUCGCAGAUGGGUUCUUCACGGCCACACCCAUAGCCACCAAUUGAGGCCCCAACACAGCUUCAGUUCUCACAGUGAGAAAAAGACGAUGGAAUUGGGUUUUCCUUCUCUCAGCGACUCCGACGAAGAGGAGAGAAUAGCGCUGGAGGGCAAAACGGCUAAUUCACUGCUCAUAAGUCAACUCAAGGAAGCAGACCAUCACUUAAGCGGGGGCAAAACCGUCACUUCGCUAUUCCCAAGCUACAGUCCAGGAACAAUGACUCUGGGAUCAGUUUUAGUAUAUAUAUAAUUUAUAAAUAAAUAAAAAGAACUUGUGUAUUUUGUUUCUUUGUUUGUUAAAAAAUAAUGGGAGAUAUUAUUGGCACCCCAUUAUUUGCUCUUUGCACCCCAUAUUAAUUUUAAACAUGAAUAAUUUAUUUAACCUUCGUACAUAAUUACCGUUAAGGACAAAAAGCAUUUAUAAUAAAAAUUAAAUUUGCUCACUACACCCCAUGUAUGUUCCUGCAACUCUAGUUAGAAUUUUUUUCUUAAACCAUCAUGUUCCUACAAUCCUAAUGAGCUUUAUACGCUUAUAUUGGUGAAAAAUAUAUUGUAUUUAUUCAUGAAGGGUGAGAUUGAAGUUAGAGAGGCUUCGAAUGAGUUAUGAGUUUAUUUUUUGGCCUUUUUCAAGCUUGGGAUUUCUUGAUGGUUCGCUAGUUGCGUUUAGCAAACCAGUACCGAACGCGAUAGGUAAAUUCGGUGGGAUGCCACCGAAACAUUGCACCUAUUUUGGUUGCGUUUGACUGGCCGUUAACUUCAGAUGCAGUGGAGAUCCACCAUAAUAUAAACGGUGUUCGGUGGUUUAUUACAGAAUUUUUACCUACAAUUCAGUGGCAACGAACCGAAAUAUAUUUAUUUUUUCAGUAACUUAUUGUCGACCACAAAUUUAAUAUAAGCUAUUUUGACCUUACUCCCAUUGAAGGAACAAAAACAAGAUGACGCCCUUAAAAUAGAUGACACAUCAUCAAAUGUGAUGGUCAUCUCACUAAAAGGCAUGUGAAAGAUGUUCGUUUCAAGAUGCCAUCUCUCAAUAAAGGUAGAUAUAACAAUCUUAUCUGCAUUCCGAUAAGAACACUAAAUAAGUUGCUCCAAUCCAUACCUCUAAAUGUACCAUUUGAAUAUACCAUUAUUUGGAUUAGCCCUCCAAUUUCACUAAUGAAGGAUAGAUGUCUUCGACAUGCACCUAAGGUGCUCACAUUCCUAGUAAAAAACAAUAUUAAGUACAAACUCAAUAACGAAUUCAGUAGAUGAUCACUGAAACAAGAAACGAAUUCACGGAAACAAAAAAUGAAUUCAGUUGACUACUACUGAAAAACAUAAACAUAUUCAAUAGACUGUCACUAAAAAACUGAAACAGAUUAUGUGAACUACUAUUGAAAAACGUAAACACAUUCGGUGGGUAGCUACUGAAAAUAGAAAACAAAUUCGAUGGACUACCGUUGAACAAGGUAACGAUUUUAGUGGGGUUUACACAGGUAAGUUAGGGAAUGGGGUUCAUGAGGGCAAUCUAGGAAGAAAAAUGAGGUGUAUUGAGUAAUUUUAAAAUUUCCUAAAAUUCAGUGGGGUGUAAGGAGAAUAUGAGGUGGAAAGAGCAAAUGUUAGAGUGCCAAUAAAAUCAUCCAAAAAUAAUAUAUGGUUUAAUGGGUUGUCCUGUUAAGGGAAAGCUUGGAGGCAAUAAUUUAAACUUUUGGAAAAACAAUAAUCCCAAAUGUAAGAACAAUUCAUCCACUAAUAGCUUGCAAAAUUAUAAUUUAAAUGGAAAAACAAAAAACAAAUGCACUAGUAAUAAGUUAAUGUAUCUACUAAACUUAAUUACAUGGAGGCAAUCUAAUGGAUCACUAGUGAUUUUUUAGUCAAAACAACCUAGUUAUAUAUAAUUACUGAAAAAAAUAAUCUCAUUUUUCACGGCCCAAGAACGGGCAAGGGUCCUUCAAUAAGUUAAACAUGUUUACAAGGUGUCACCAAAGCACAAAACGGUCCAUAAGCAAACGAACUGUGGCCUCUGAAAGACUAGAGGAAUCCAAGUCCCUCUGAAUCUGAACCAUUCUGCUGCUCUCUUUUCUUGCUUCUUUCAACACUUGCUGUUGUUCUUCAACCUCAUCAUCACCUUCUCCUUGUUUUCCCUUUGAUGAAAACACCAGUCGCUUCUUAGCCCCUACCUUGUCUUUCAGCUUUGCCAACUCGCUCAUCCAAACCUCCACCACUGCAGACAUGCUUGAACUUGAAAACAUGAAAACUGGCUUGGUCUUGACUCUUUGAGUUUGAUCAAGGAUGAUGGGGAGAGCUGGCUAUUAUGCUUGUUGGGUUAUAUAGAAGAGAGAGAGAGAGAGAGAGAGAGAGAGAGAGAGGGCCUUGCCCUUCAUGUGGCUUGGAUUGGAUGAAAAAUCAGUGUGUCACAGACAGCCGUUGGUUAUAGGCUCGCACACAGGAUUUAGUUUUAGGAAUAUUCCAGAGAGAGAGAGAGAGAGAGAGAGAGAGAGAGAGAGUACAAAGUGGGGUAUGAGUUUUGUUGAGUGAAUGAAAAGCUUCCCAGUGGGCGCACGGAACUCUCUUCUUUAGAUUGUGGGCGACUUGGCAUAUUACUAUUCAUCAAUAGUAUCCAUUGCAUCUUAGUUUUUCUUUUGUCUUAUUCCAACAUUGCAAAUCUCUCUUCCGGGUCAACCACCUCUUCAUCAUCAUCUUCAGUAAAAGUAGCCAUCUUCAUUAUCUUCACAGCUGAAGUAGUCAUGUUCCGAGUCUUGCUCAUCUUCACAUAGAUCAACACCUGAUUCAGACUCAUCGGAUUCAGACCUGUCAUUAGCAUCUUCCAAGUCAUCGGAUUCAGACUCACCAUCUUCCGUAAAUAUAGACAGGUCGUCAUCAUCCUGUGUCAUUACCAGGUGGACCCCGAAGCUAUUAAAACGCAGCGAAUCUUGUGUCAAAUUCUGAAAAUUAACUUGACACGCAAAAGGCGACUGCGGCCAGGUAAUCUGAUCAUCCCGGUAAAACAUUUCUCUGAAUCGAAUAUAGCACAGCCACACAUGACCUGACCCUAUCUUUCUGAAAUGGUAAUCGAACUGAAUAUAAUGAGGUACCACUUCUGGUUGAUUGACGGAAAUUUUUGUUAGAAAACCAUGGUAACGUCGUCUUUUAUUUUGCGGGUUUUCAACAGCAGCAUAUAGAGCCAAUCCUUGGUUCUGGCAUUUGAAGUUUGGAGGGAUUUCAAUCAAAAGUUCACAUGCUUCAUCACGCUCCUUCACAUCGUUAUGACAGCUGAACAACGUCGAGAGAGCUUCAAAACUUGCUGGAAAUACAACCUG
Molecule: long non-coding RNA, 13157 nt
Filed under: Prunus persica (peach)
Lineage: Eukaryota; Viridiplantae; Streptophyta; Magnoliopsida; Rosales; Rosaceae
Description: long non-coding RNA (PPER_LNC008340)
Source: RNAcentral